CCCCCCCCACAAAAUCCGUCUAUGGCUAGCCCCGUGUAUGUUUGCAAAACUUGAUGUUAUAUUUGUUUUCCAGCCACACCGGACAUGUUAACUGCGAAAGAGCUAUUGGUGCUGGCUCCAUCACCUGACGAACAGAAAGAAUGGGUAUCUUAUCUCACGAAAAAGAUUGUUCCUAAACACAGACAAUCACCAAAGUAAGUGUGCUAAUCCUACAGCACAUGUUUUGUUGGUUCAAGUUCAAGUCUUUCAAAACAAAUAUGGACUUUAUUCUUGUUGUUCAAGUUUUCCUGUGCAUUGUAUGCGAAACUUUCUUAGUUAAAUUGACUUUUGUAGAAGUUCAUGAUAAAAAGGAAAGCAAAUUAUUUUCAUUAGUGUCCUGUAAGUCGAAAUUUUGCAAAUAUCACGCGUUCAUGAUCUAUACAAAUAACGU
Paramuricea clavata is the source of this 430-nucleotide non-coding RNA. The record is from the annotation of a GenBank genome assembly. Lineage: Eukaryota; Metazoa; Cnidaria; Anthozoa; Malacalcyonacea; Plexauridae.